GACAGAGGGUGCAAACGUUGUUCGGAAUUACUGGGCGUAAAGCGCGUGUAGGCUGCUUCGCAAGUCGGGUGUGAAAGCCCUGGGCUCAACCUAGGAAGUGCACUCGAAACUGCGAAGCUUGAGUCCUGGAGAGGAAGGCGGAAUUCUCGGUGUAGAGGUGAAAUUCGUAGAUACCGAGAGGAACACCGGUGGCGAAGGCGGCCUUCUGGACAGUGACUGACGCUGAGACGCGAAAGCGUGGGGAGCAAACAGG
Molecule: ribosomal RNA, 253 nt
Filed under: uncultured bacterium
Lineage: Bacteria
Description: partial 16S ribosomal RNA
Rfam family: Bacterial small subunit ribosomal RNA
Source: RNAcentral